Molecule: ribosomal RNA, 701 nt
Filed under: uncultured Staphylococcus sp.
Lineage: Bacteria; Bacillati; Bacillota; Bacilli; Caryophanales; Staphylococcaceae
Description: bacterial SSU rRNA
Rfam family: Bacterial small subunit ribosomal RNA
Source: RNAcentral
AGGAGCUUGCUCCUCUGACGUUAGCGGCGGACGGGUGAGUAACACGUGGGUAACCUACCUAUAAGACUGGGAUAACUCCGGGAAACCGGGGCUAAUACCGGAUAACACAUGAAACCGCAUGGUUUCAUGAUGAAAGACGGUUUUGCUGUCACUUAUAGAUGGACCCGCGGCGUAUUAGCUAGUUGGUAAGGUAACGGCUUACCAAGGCAACGAUACGUAGCCGACCUGAGAGGGUGAUCGGCCACACUGGAACUGAGACACGGUCCAGACUCCUACGGGAGGCAGCAGUAGGGAAUCUUCCGCAAUGGGCGAAAGCCUGACGGAGCAACGCCGCGUGAGUGAUGAAGGUCUUCGGAUCGUAAAACUCUGUUAUUAGGGAAGAACAAGGAUGUAAGUAACUAUGCAUCCCUUGACGGUACCUAAUCAGAAAGCCACGGCUAACUACGUGCCAGCAGCCGCGGUAAUACGUAGGUGGCAAGCGUUAUCCGGAAUUAUUGGGCGUAAAGCGCGCGUAGGCGGUUUUUUAAGUCUGAUGUGAAAGCCCACGGCUCAACCGUGGAGGGUCAUUGGAAACUGAAAAACUUGAGUGCAGAAGAGGAAAGUGGAAUUCCAUGUGUAGCGGUGAAAUGCGCAGAGAUAUGGAGGAACACCAGUGGCGAAGGCGACUUUCUGGUCUGUAACUGACGCUGAUGUGCGAAAGC